This 1068-nucleotide ribosomal RNA is filed under the name gut metagenome. RNAcentral's name for it is "bacterial SSU rRNA". It matches the Rfam family "Bacterial small subunit ribosomal RNA", at positions 8 to 1064 of the family's 1533-position model. The record is from RNAcentral.
AGAGUUUGAUCCUGGCUCAGGAUGAACGCUAGCGACAGGCUUAACACAUGCAAGUCGAGGGGCAGCGGGGGCGCAGCAAUGCGCCUGCCGGCGACCGGCGCACGGGUGAGUAACACGUAUGCAACCUGCCCGCCACAGGGGUAUAACCGCGGGAAACCGCGACUAAUCCCGCAUGACGCCGGGGGAGGGCAUCCUUCCCCGGCCAAAGGAGCGAUCCGGUGGCGGAUGGGCAUGCGGCGCAUUAGCUAGUCGGCGGGGUAACGGCCCACCGAGGCGACGAUGCGUAGGGGUUCUGAGAGGAAGGCCCCCCACACUGGUACUGAGACACGGACCAGACUCCUACGGGAGGCAGCAGUGAGGAAUAUUGGUCAAUGGGCGGAAGCCUGAACCAGCCAAGUCGCGUGAGGGAAGAAGGCCCUGCGGGUCGCAGACCUCUUUGGACGGGGAGCAAGGCCGCGGACGUGUCCGCGGAAGGAGAGUACCCGUAGAACAAGCAUCGGCUAACUCCGUGCCAGCAGCCGCGGUAAUACGGAGGAUGCGAGCGUUAUCCGGAUUUAUUGGGUUUAAAGGGUGCGCAGGCGGCCCGACAAGCCGGCGGUCAAAUCGCGGGGCUCAACCCCGUCCAGCCGUCGGAACUGCCGGGCUAGAGUGGGCGAGAAGUGCGCGGAAUGCGUGGUGUAGCGGUGAAAUGCAUAGAUAUCACGCAGAACUCCGAUUGCGAAGGCAGCGCACCGGCGCCCUACUGACGCUCAGGCACGAAAGCGUGGGUAUCGAACAGGAUUAGAUACCCUGGUAGUCCACGCAGUAAACGAUGGAUGCUAGGUGUCCGGGGAGAAUGUUUCCUGGGUGCCACAGCGAAAGCGUUAAGCAUCCCACCUGGGGAGUACGCCGGCAACGGUGAAACUCAAAGGAAUUGACGGGGGCCCGCACAAGCGGAGGAACAUGUGGUUUAAUUCGAUGAUACGCGAGGAACCUUACCCGGGCUCAAACGGCGCAGGAACGACCUUUGAAAGGAGGCGGCCCCACGGGGCCUGCGCCGAGGUGCUGCAUGGUUGUCGUCAGCUCGUG